This 263-nucleotide long non-coding RNA is filed under the name Eucalyptus grandis. RNAcentral's name for it is "long non-coding RNA (EGRA_LNC007337)". The record is from RNAcentral. Lineage: Eukaryota; Viridiplantae; Streptophyta; Magnoliopsida; Myrtales; Myrtaceae.
AACAAGGUCAGGGAUAUUCUAGACAUACUCGACCUGGGUAAAUGAUCUUCAAUUAUCACGAAAUUUUUAUUGGAUAUAGAUUGGAACCUAAUGAACAACUUUCAUUUAGGCAUCAAUUUUAGAAUCUAAUCACAAAAAAUCAUGUGAAAAUGGCAAACAGCACAGGUCAUUAAAGGCAUGAAAACAGAACACUUCAUUUACAAACUGUAGCUCCAUUUUUUAACAAUUGUUGAAUCCAAUAAAUGCUGACCAAAUCCAAGAGC